UACGGGGGGGGCAAGCGUUGUUCGGAAUUACUGGGCGUAAAGGGCUCGUAGGCGGCCAACUAAGUCGGACGUGAAAUCCCCCGGCUUAACCUGGGAACUGCGUCUGAUACUGGACGGCUUGAGUAUGGGAGAGGGAUGUAGAAUUCCAGGUGUAGCGGUGAAAUGCGCAGAUAUCAGGAGGAACACCAAUGGCGAAGGCAGCACUCUGGGACGUGACUGACGCUGAGACGCGAAAGCGUGGGGAGCAAACAGG
Molecule: ribosomal RNA, 253 nt
Filed under: uncultured bacterium
Lineage: Bacteria
Description: partial 16S ribosomal RNA
Rfam family: Bacterial small subunit ribosomal RNA
Source: RNAcentral